UGGAGGCAGCUUCGACUUGAGUUGGGACUCAAAACAGAUGCUGACAUGGCUCAUUUCCUAGUGAUCAGCUGAUGGAAGGAUGGACUCCCCAGGACACACUGCCCAGUACUGCACUUAUACCACUAUGGAAAAUGAGUCCAAGGACAUCAUCAGUGUUGUCACUGUGGACAAGAGACUA
Non-coding RNA from Epinephelus lanceolatus (giant grouper), 178 nucleotides. Lineage: Eukaryota; Metazoa; Chordata; Actinopteri; Perciformes; Serranidae. The record is from RefSeq and is a predicted model, not a curated record.